Molecule: long non-coding RNA, 589 nt
Filed under: Macaca mulatta (Rhesus monkey)
Lineage: Eukaryota; Metazoa; Chordata; Mammalia; Primates; Cercopithecidae
Description: lncRNA (ENSMMUG00000053294.1)
Source: RNAcentral
GUCACAGGCAGGAAAAUAAGCAAGUGGAUACUGCUAGGCUUGAAGUAUCUAGACCACUACCAUGGCUCUAAUAAACAGGACUGGCCUAGGCUAAUGGGCUAGAUGACUUCAAUAAAGCAAAGUGGGAAAUGUCUCAAAAACAUUCUUACUCUUCCCACUCAAACGAUAUAAGAGGUGCAUAUUCAAUGAGCAGCAGUAAAGCCCUUCUAAAAUGGCCUAUAGCAGCAGAGAGUGGACACAACCAAUCUGUGGUCAAUCUUGAACUGGGUCACUAUAUGGUAAGUGAAGAACUUUAAUAACCGAGCUCCUAGGUCCCACUUUUACUGUAGGAGCCAGAGAACACAACUCCUCUGUUCCUUCCUAAAAGCUUCAAAGAGGAGAUGUGCCCCAUCUGUAAAGAUACAAGUUUAUAUUUUCAGCAACUCUACCCAAAAUUAAGAAGCGGCACCCAGUGGGAAACUCUUCCCAAACCAAUUCUUUCCAAGUCACACUCCCACUAUGCUUCUUCCUAUGACCUGAUAAAUCAUUUCCUUUGAAUCAUUUUAACCUCUUAGAGAUAAUCUAGAUAAUUUAUUGGCAUCGUUUUUAG